GGAGAGGUGGGAGAGUGGCUGAAUCUACAUCCUUGGAAAGGAUGCAUACCGCAAGGUAUCGUGAGUUCGAAUCUCACCCUCUCCG
Molecule: transfer RNA, 85 nt
Filed under: Deltaproteobacteria bacterium
Lineage: Bacteria; Pseudomonadati; Myxococcota; Myxococcia
Description: tRNA-Ser
Rfam family: tRNA
About the family: Transfer RNA (tRNA) molecules are approximately 80 nucleotides in length.
Source: RNAcentral